This 253-nucleotide ribosomal RNA is filed under the name uncultured bacterium. RNAcentral describes it as "partial 16S ribosomal RNA". It matches the Rfam family "Bacterial small subunit ribosomal RNA", at positions 524 to 776 of the family's 1533-position model. The record is from RNAcentral.
UACGUAGGGGGCAAGCGUUGUUCGGAAUUACUGGGCGUAAAGGGCGCGUAGGCGGCAGGCCAAGUCGGGAGUGAAAGCCCGGGGCUCAACCCCGGAAUGUCUUUCGAAACUGGCCAGCUGGAGUGCGGAAGAGGCAACUGGAAUUCCCAGUGUAGCGGUGAAAUGCGUAGAUAUUGGGAAGAACACCUGAGGCGAAGGCGGGCUACUGGGCCGAUACUGACGCUGAGGCGCGAAAGCCAGGGGAGCAAACGGG